CACCAGGCAGAAAUCCCCUGUAAACAGGCCCAAAUUUCCCUUCAGCCAAAAGGGUGCCUCUGUCAAAACCUGAAGUUGCAGAUAAGAGGUCUGCAAAAGUGAUAUUCAGCAAUGGCUUCUCAAAAAUCACUACAGGGACUGAUGUUGCCUGCUUAACAUCAGCAACCCAUGUGGUUGAAUCAGUAUGGAAUGAAAAUGGACCUGAAAUAUUUU
Molecule: unclassified non-coding RNA, 213 nt
Filed under: Hevea brasiliensis (rubber tree)
Lineage: Eukaryota; Viridiplantae; Streptophyta; Magnoliopsida; Malpighiales; Euphorbiaceae
Source: RNAcentral